RNAcentral lists this transfer RNA (65 nucleotides) under Oryctes rhinoceros (rhinoceros beetle). Its description in RNAcentral is "tRNA-Thr". It matches the Rfam family "tRNA". From Rfam's summary of the family: Transfer RNA (tRNA) molecules are approximately 80 nucleotides in length. Lineage: Eukaryota; Metazoa; Arthropoda; Insecta; Coleoptera; Scarabaeidae. The record is from RNAcentral.
GUUUUAAUAAUUUAAUUUAAAAUACUGGUCUUGUAAACCAGAAAUAAGGCCUUCCUUUUAAAACA